UUGUAACUGAGAGGUCACAGCUGAGGGGGAGGAAAGGCAUCUUUUACAGCCCUGCUGAUAUAUUCAAACUUUCCUUCAUUGCAGCUUCCUUCCUAAGUGAAUUGUAAAUUCAUUUAAAGAAGCCAGUGGGCACUUUACAAGCUCUAGAUCAGAAGGUCUUGGAUGGAAUAAUCCAUUCGGGUCUUACUCACUAAUGAAACUGACACUUCCUUGACAACCCCUGUUAUUCUUGCUGACUUCAACUAACUAAUAGGAUCUCAUGUCAGGCUUUUUCUUUCUGGAGCAAUGUCACACAAGGAGGGCAGAAGUGCACUACGCCAAGUUCAACAUCAUUGCCAGCUGAGAAAGGAGAAUAAAGAAUGGGAGUUUGCAAGGUUCAAAAUGAAAACUAACUGACCAGCAAGCAACUUCUUGAUAUUUAAAGCCCACAAGAUAGCACUUUCAUCUCCCAAACAAACUAAAACAAGAUAAAAACAAAAGAAAUUAUAAUUGCUUUCCUGUGAAAACAGGAAAUCUGCCAUCCACCA
Peromyscus eremicus (cactus mouse) is the source of this 527-nucleotide long non-coding RNA. RefSeq lists it as uncharacterized. Lineage: Eukaryota; Metazoa; Chordata; Mammalia; Rodentia; Cricetidae. The transcript has 3 exons. The record is from RefSeq and is a predicted model, not a curated record.